CUAGCAGCCGUCACCCUUUUGUGCCUUGCCCCAAGAGAUGAGAGGAAGAAAAAAGAAGAGAAGAGAGGGGAGAUGAGGGCAUACCGUCGCUCAUCAUCGUCGUUCCUCUCCAAGAAUUGGUUGGAUUUCCUUUCCUCUCUCUCUUUUCUCCACUUGAUGAAUGCUUUCUCUUGUUUUGGAUGAGUUUUAGGCCCUGCAAUUAGUUUUUUUGGUUGGAUUAGAUGGGAGAUUAGAUUUUGAUCUCGAAAUUAGUUUCUGCAGGAUGGCAGAUUCAACAGUUUCUGUUCAUGCAAGUUUUCCGUGAUCUUAGUGGCCUCAAAAAAUUAAAACGUCUGUCUAUGAGUCGUAGAUAAUUUGUAUAUCUUUCUGUGGCCGCGAAGAACACCUCAAUCGGACAUCAGAUCAGAAAGUUAUUGCAGUUUGAUUAUAGCAGUUUUUCAGUCUCAUAAUUCUGUGCAGAAUCUGUUCUCUUAAGAUUUAGGCAAUUUUAUCUACAGAAUUAAACUUUAGGAUUGUAAAAGAAGUUGUAGACAAUUUUAUAAGCUUUCCAGAUUGUUAAAGAGCGCAUUCAUAUGAAUUAUGAAACUCCAGUUAUGUUUGUUUUACUGUGGCUGUUCCUGUUUGCCUGACAAAAAUGAGUGGGUCUGUUCACUGGUGGGUUUCAUAUAGUAAAUAGCCGAAUUGGCUGUUCCAACUAUGGAGACAUUUGUAGAGGGAUAAAAGUUCUUACUGCCAGCAGAAUUUCAUAAUUUUUGGUUGAGUAGUUUGGUAGAUAUUGAAUUUUGAAGUUAACUAUGCUGCUGUCUGAAACAGAUUCAGACAUUUAUCUUAUCAGAUGUUUUAGAACUUAUAGAUGGCAGAAUUUAAUUAUCCAUUGAAUGCUGAAGUUGUAGAGUAUUUUGUGUAUACACUCCUAGAGUAUUUGUUUAAUAUCACCACUGUUAUAAUUUUAAAGAUACAAAAUUAACAAACAGUGUUGUUGUUGUUUGGCAUGUGGUUCAGGGUGGGAGUCUUUCCACCGGGUCUUGGUUUCAAGUGUAGGAGCGAUUUGUUGAUUGUUGGCAAAUGUUUGUGAAAUAUUUGUACUAAGUUUUAUGCCCGCUAGCAGGUGGCUACACUCCGGAUCAUGCCUAGUACAUCUUUCUUCCUCGAUGAAGGCAAGUGAAUGUAGUAGUGGUUUCUACCGUUUUGACUUGUUGUUUUUUUAUCGCCUACACUCUAAUAUUCAGAAUUAUAGAAUUCUUUCAUAAUUGAACUCUAUGGUGAUGCUUUACUUGAUUGUAUUAUACUGAUGCUCAAUCAUAUAUUGAUGAUGAUUAUGGUUCGAGUAUGACCCAUGAGAUUAAUUUACACCCGUGAAGGCAGAUAAAGUAUUAUUUGAGGUUUGUAUCGUAUCUGAAGGCAGAUGAAGUAUUAUUUGAGGUUUGUUUUGUAUCUGAAGGAAGUGAAGUGUAUUGAUAAAUACAGCAUGCCAUAUGCAUUACAUGAUUCAUUUGCAUCUGAAGUUUGGUCGUGACCUAUGGUCCGACUGUACCGGUACAACUUAGCAUCGUACGUUGCCCGAGGAGGGGUACGAUGCGGCUUCAUACCCUUAGAGGUAUGAAGGCAGAGGACAUAUGCAUUGCAUUUAUAUGCAUUCAUUGAAGUGAUAUUAGCAGAUGAUGUGGUUUUAUACUCUCAGAGGUAUGAGGGCAGAUGACCUACACAUUGCAUUCCUAUGCAUACAUUGAAGUGAUAUCUGCAGGUAUUGUUGACGCAGGGAAGGGUUAUACAACCUAUUGUGGUUGUUCGAGGAAAUGAGAUGGUAUUGGUUAUAUUGGGACUAUUGAGUUCUAUAUCUACAAGUAUUUCUGAUCUCAAUUGUGAUUCCUUUAAAAUGUUGUUUAAUUCAAUUUGUGGUUUAAAUAUCUCGUCAAAACAAUUUGCUUGCUGAGAUGUAUCAUCUCACUCUUGCAUUACUCAAUGCAGGUACUUGAUUCAUGUUGGGAAUGAGGGAAGUAGCAGCACGUUCACCUUCACUAUUAUAAUAACGAUGCCCAGUUGCAGCCAUGAUUUAAUUAGAAACUCGAUGACAAAUGAUGUUUGUUUUUUCCUAGUCGUGUGCACUGGUUAAUUCAGUUCAUGUCGUUAUGUUUAACUUUCCUUUGCUAGCAGAUUAAUAAUGCUUAGUAUGUUUUUUUUCAUGAUAUAUGUUUAUACACUGUUGCCCCUCAUUUAUGCAAUCUUUCAAAAGAGAUGCUGCCGAAAUUUUAUAUAUGGAUGUCAGAUGUGUAGUUCAGUAGCAUUCCGGGGUGUUUGUGGACCCCGGGGUGUUACAGUUGGUAUCAAAGCAUAGGCUUUAGAUUCUUGGCAAUUUGAAGAUAAAUUUGACACACUUGCACAUAUAGGAAGGGUAUGAGUUCAAAUGUCUUUGAUAUAUAUAUUAGUGUCUUUGAAGUGCAUAUGACAAUAAUUUCACCCAUCCCUAUUCCUUUACGGUGAUGUGGUAUGUUGUUUAUGACUUAAUGCCUAAUAUGAUUUAUCUCUAAAUCUUUAUAUUGUUUUAUUAAUGCGAUUGAUAUCGCUGGUCUUUGGUAAGAUUGAAGUUGUUAUUAUGCUUGUGAUAUACAAGUAUGCCUAUGUUGAUUUCAUCAUGUUUUUCAUGGUUGAGUUUUAUUGCAAUAAUAUUGUUAUAUAUGCUUGAUUGAGGAUGUUCCUAAGAGGAGUGUGAAUUGCGUGUUUUGGGUUACAAGGUAACCAUCAAUUUGAAUUAAAGUUGUUGAGUGGUUGGUGGAUAGUUCCAACUAUCUUUGCAAAGAAUGAUUGUUUAUGUCGAGAAACCAGUUCUGAAAGAAAUGAAUAUUGGUACUUUUAUAUGAAUUUUGGGGAAGUCUUUACAUAGCUAGAAUGGCUUACAUGUCUCUCUUCUAUUGUGUGUUUUAGUAGCAUUCCGGGGUGUUUGUGGACCCCGGGGUGUUACAGUUGGAGGUGGUUUAAAGUGGUUGCAUGUUAGUCAUGCUAGUUGUAGAAUAAAUCUUUGUUUUUCUUGAUCUAUUGAUUAUGUAUUAAUAUGUUGAGGAUCAGAUGGUUCUCUCCCUGAUGCAUGCUGGUGGAUCCAUUGUUGGACCACCUAUCUAUUGGUUUGAAUGAAGUCAUUGCCUAGCCUAGAGUUGGUUGUGUGUGGUUAGUCACCUAUUCCUAAAUGAUGUGGUUUUUUACAUCAACUUGAGAUGUUUGUCAAAUGUGUGAAGGAUUACGGGGUUAUCAUUGACCUCGUAUGUCUAGUACUUUGAGUGCAUCGUAUGAUAGAAUGAAAUGUAAGUUUCUGAACUACAGUAGAUGAAGACUUAUAUUAUUUGUAGGUUAACCUUACUAGUUUGGUUAUUUUUCUUAGUUGAGUUGUUGGAUGAAGUAUAGCGACAUUGGUAAGCAAGUAUUGUGUUGUUGUUGUGCUAUCAAUGCUCUUUGUGGAGUUUUUGGCAUUUCUUCGAUGAAAUGUGCCGCGUAGAAUGUUAUGGGCUUCGUGUCUGCUUUAUUGCUCCAUUAGUUCUGUAGAGUUUCUCCCUUUUGUGGGGUGCAAAGAAUGUUAGAUUACAUGAUUAUCUUUUCAUGAUGGCAAGAACGGGGUUUAGGAAGAUUAGGAGUUUUGUUUCAAUAGAACUACUUGUUUUGUGGUGCUGUGAGGUGAGGUGUUUGAUAUUUUUAUACGUUCAUCUGGUGUGGAUGUUUUACCAUUGAAUUAAAAUAAAUUGUUGAAGUUGGUAAGGGUUGUGCUUAGUGCAUAUUACUCCUUCAUAAAAGAGUGUCGUUUUAAGACAUUGAUGCUGAUGUAUGGCUGCAUCCAAAUUCGAUGUUGUGAAAUCGUAGUGUUGAUCACAUCUAUGACUUGCUUUGAGCUUCAUUGCAGGUUGUUUCAUGCUUGUUGUCAGGCUGUGUAGCUUCCUUAGACCAUUAGUCCGAGGUAGAAGUUCUUGUGUUGAUUAAUACCAAUAAUGGACCCAUGUUUUCAAUGGUGGUGCUAUUUGGGGUACCUUGGAUGUUUUGCUUGGAGUGGUCGAAUUCGAGGACGAAUUCUUUUUAAGAGGGGUAGAAUGUAACACCCUAAAAAAAUAAACCAUUUUUAUAAUCCAAAUAUGGUGUGUCCUAUGGAUGAUCGGAGGCCGUAGAUGUAUAUAUCUCAUCAAGAUGAUUCCGAUCAAUCACUAGUUUGCCUUGUUUGAAGUCCAGAUGAGUCUUUUCGAGUGCCGGUUGAUCUGAGCCAUUGGAUAUUAAGAUUGUGGAAGUUUCCUUCUAUUUAUACCUCCCUAACCCUAUAAUCCAUGUCCUCCCACCCCUAGCAGCCGUCACCCUUUUGUGCCUUGCCCCAAGAGAUGAGAGGAAGAAAAAAGAAGAGAAGAGAGGGGAGAUGAGGGCAUACCGUCGCUCAUCAUCGUCGUUCCUCUCCAAGAAUUGGUUGGAUUUUCCUCUCUCUCUUUUCUCCACUUGAUGAAUGCUUUCUCUUGUUUUGGAUGAGUUUUAGGCCCUGCAAUUAGUUUUUUUGGUUGGAUUAGAUGGGAGAUUAGAUUUUGAUCUCGAAAUUAGUUUCUGCAGGAUGGCAGAUUCAACAGUUUCUGUUCAUGCAAGUUUUCCGUGAUCUUAGUAGCCUCAAAAAAUUAAAACGUCUGUCUAUGAGUCGUAGAUAAUUUGUAUAUCUUUCCGUGGCCGUGAAGAACACCUCAAUCGGACAUCAGAUCAGAAAGUUAUUGCAGUUUGAUUAUAGCAGUUUUUCAGUCUCAUAAUUCUGUGCAGAAUCUGUUCUCUUAAGAUUUAGGCAAUUUUAUCUACAGAAUUAAACUUUAGGAUUGUAAAAGAAGUUGUAGACAAUUUUAUAAGCUUUCCAGAUUGUUAAAGAGCGCAUUCAUAUGAAUUAUGAAACUCCAGUUAUGUUUGUUUUACUGUGGCUGUUCCUGUUUGCCUGACAAAAAUGAGUGGGUCUGUUCACUGGUGGGUUUCAUAUAGUAAAUAGCCGAAUUGGCUGUUCCAACUAUGGAGACAUUUGUAGAGGGAUAAAAGUUCUUACUGCCAGCAGAAUUUCAUAAUUUUUGGUUGAGUAGUUUGGUAGAUAUUGAAUUUUGAAGUUAACUAUGCUGCUGUCUGAAACAGAUUCAGACAUUUAUCUUAUGAGAUGUUUUAGAACUUAUAGAUGGCAGAAUUUAAUUAUCUAUUGAAUGCUGAAGUUGUAGAGUAUUUUGUGUAUACACUCCUAGAGUAUUUGUUUAAUAUCACCACUGUUAUAAUUUUAAAGAUACAAAAUUAACAAACAGUGUUGUUGUUGUUUGGCAUGUGGUUCAGGGUGGGAGUCUUUCCACCGGGUCUUGGUUUCAAGUGUAGGAGCGAUUUGUUGAUUGUUGGCAAAUGUUUGUGAAAUAUUUGUACUAAGUUUUAUGCCCGCUAGCAGGUGGCUACACUCCGGAUCAUGCCUAGUACAUCUUUCUUCCUCGAUGAAGGCAAGUGAAUGUAGUAGUGGUUUCUACCGUUUUGACUUGUUGUUUUUUUAUCGCCUACACUCUAAUAUUCAGAAUUAUAGAAUUCUUUCAUAAUUGAACUCUAUGGUGAUGCUUUACUUGAUUGUAUUAUACUGAUGCUCAAUCAUAUAUUGAUGAUGAUUAUGGUUCGAGUAUGACCCAUGAGAUUAAUUUACACCCGUGAAGGCAGAUAAAGUAUUAUUUGAGGUUUGUAUCGUAUCUGAAGGCAGAUGAAGUAUUAUUUGAGGUUUGUUUUGUAUCUGAAGGAAGUGAAGUGUAUUGAUAAAUACAGCAUGCCAUAUGCAUUACAUGAUUCAUUUGCAUCUGAAGUUUGGUCGUGACCUAUGGUCCGACUGUACCGGUACAACUUAGCAUCGUACGUUGCCCGAGGAGGGGUACGAUGCGGCUUCAUACCCUUAGAGGUAUGAAGGCAGAGGACAUAUGCAUUGCAUUUAUAUGCAUUCAUUGAAGUGAUAUUAGCAGAUGAUGUGGUUUUAUACUCUCAGAGGUAUGAGGGCAGAUGACCUACACAUUGCAUUCCUAUGCAUACAUUGAAGUGAUAUCUGCAGGUAUUGUUGACGCAGGGAAGGGUUAUACAACCUAUUGUGGUUGUUCGAGGAAAUGAGAUGGUAUUGGUUAUAUUGGGACUAUUGAGUUCUAUAUCUACAAGUAUUUCUGAUCUCAAUUGUGAUUCCUUUAAAAUGUUGUUUAAUUCAAUUUGUGGUUUAAAUAUCUCGUCAAAACAAUUUGCUUGCUGAGAUGUAUCAUCUCACUCUUGCAUUACUCAAUGCAGGUACUUGAUUCAUGUUGGGAAUGAGGGAAGUAGCAGCACGUUCACCUUCACUAUUAUAAUAACGAUGCCCAGUUGCAGCCAUGAUUUAAUUAGAAACUCGAUGACAAAUGAUGUUUGUUUUUUCCUAGUCGUGUGCACUGGUUAAUUCAGUUCAUGUCGUUAUGUUUAACUUUCCUUUGCUAGCAGAUUAAUAAUGCUUAGUAUGUUUUUUUUCAUGAUAUAUGUUUAUACACUGUUGCCCC
RNAcentral lists this long non-coding RNA (6518 nucleotides) under Zea mays. Its description in RNAcentral is "long non-coding RNA (ZMAY_LNC001722)". The record is from RNAcentral. Lineage: Eukaryota; Viridiplantae; Streptophyta; Magnoliopsida; Poales; Poaceae.